This 429-nucleotide ribosomal RNA is filed under the name uncultured bacterium. RNAcentral's name for it is "bacterial SSU rRNA". It matches the Rfam family "Bacterial small subunit ribosomal RNA", at positions 32 to 442 of the family's 1533-position model. The record is from RNAcentral.
AAUCAACGCUGGCGGCGUGCCUCAGACAUGCAAGUCGAACGCGAAAGUUUCCUUCGGGAAGCAAGUAGAGUGGCGUCCGGGUGAGUAACACGUAGGUAAUCUACCUUUGGGUGGGGAAUAACAACCGGAAACGGUUGCUAAUACCGCAUAAUGCAGCGGCAUCACAUGAUGACAGUUGUUAACGCGGGGGAUCGCAAGACCUCGCGCCUAAAGAGGAGCCUGCGGCGGAUAGCUAGUUGGUAGGGUAACGGCCUACCAAGGCAACGAUCCGUAGCCGGUCUGAGAGGGCGGUCGGCCACACUGACACUGAAUACGGGUCAGACUCCUACGGGAGGCAGCAGUCGGGAAUUUUGGGCAAUGGGCGAAAGCCUGACCCAGCAACGCCGCGUGAAGGAUGAAAUCCCUCGGGAUGUAAACUUCGCAAGAACA